CUACGGAGGAUGCAAGCGUUAUCCGGAUUUAUUGGGUUUAAAGGGUGCGUAGGCGGAUGAUUAAGCGUGAGGUGAAAUGCCACUGCUCAACAGUGGAACUGCCUCGCGAACUGGUUGUCUUGAAUGCUCCUGCCGUGGGAGGAAUGUGUGGUGUAGCGGUGAAAUGCAUAGAGAUCACACAGAACACCGAUUGCGAAGGCAUCUCACGAAGGGGUGAUUGACGCUGAGGCACGAAAGCGUGGGGAUCAAACAGGAUUAGAUACCCUGGUAGUCCACGCAGUAAACGAUGAUGACUAACUGCCGGCCCGUUGCGGGUCGGUGGCCAAGCGAAAGCGAUAAGUCAUCCACCUGGGGAGUACGACCGCAAGGUUGAAACUCAAAUGAAUUGGCGGGG
This 394-nucleotide ribosomal RNA is filed under the name uncultured bacterium. RNAcentral describes it as "partial 16S ribosomal RNA". It matches the Rfam family "Bacterial small subunit ribosomal RNA", at positions 523 to 918 of the family's 1533-position model. The record is from RNAcentral.